Long non-coding RNA from Megalobrama amblycephala (Wuchang bream), 870 nucleotides. RefSeq lists it as uncharacterized. NCBI's taxonomy places the organism in Eukaryota, Metazoa, Chordata, Actinopteri, Cypriniformes, Xenocyprididae. The record is from RefSeq and is a predicted model, not a curated record. The transcript has 4 exons.
AAAAAUGUUUUUAGUACAUUAAUGGAUCUUGAGAGAGGAAAUGUCAUUGCUGGCUAUGCUGAGCUACAAUUAUAUCAACCUUGACAACAGAGAAUUCCUCCCUCACAAAGUGCUGUUUUCAUGAGCUGAUAGUAAGACUCUUUGAACAAGCUUUCAGCCGGACCUGUGACAGGGUGAAAUGAGAUCAGCCUGAAAUGAACACCAUGUUUUGUCUGGGAGUCAAUUGCUAAAUCAUUAUUUACCAAUGCAAAGAAGAAACUUCAAGGCCACAGAGUGGGCUGCAUACCGACAGGGUCUGACGAGUCUGUGAUGAUGAUGUCAAAGGCAUCCUGAUUCUUUUUCAUAAAUUCAAAGCCAUCGCCUACAUGCAGAGUAAGUUUGGGGCUGAAGAAGCCUUUUGCCAUUCCAGGGAGGUACUUCUUGGAGACGUUUAUUACAUCCUGGGAGAAAAUGUGAUCCAGUUCAAGAUUUAACUUGAUACAAACCUCAUCAAUCUCGCACUGAACAACAGACUCCACCAGCGGAUGCUUGACAACCUCCCUCAGGACACCACCGUCUCCUCCACCAAUGAUGAGAACCUGACAACAAGAAUAAGGAAAAACAACUAAACCAAAGGAAAAUAAUGUACCAUACAGAAACUAAACACCUAAACAACUAUCCAGUCUGUCCUGGUCGGCCUUUUGGUCCCUGUUAAACUUCUCUAGCUCCUGUGCCAAGGUAGCUGCCCGCUUACUGGCCUCCUCCUUCAGCCUGUGAUACUGCUUCACCUGUGAUAACAGUAAAGUGUAAAAUGAAACACUGAAAUUUAUAAACAUAGUUGCAUUUUCAUAUUUCAUGAGUACGGCUAACCUGGUUCUCCUCCAGUGUCAA